AAGAUUAAGCCAUGCAUGUCUAAGUAUAAGCAAUUUAUACAGUGAAACUGCGAAUGGCUCAUUAAAUCAGUUAUAGUUUAUUUGAUAAUACCUUACUACUUGGAUAACCGUAGUAAUUCUAGAGCUAAUACAUGCUAAAAAACCCGACUCUCGGAAGGGUUGUAUUUAUUAGAUAAAAAACCAAUGCGGUCUCGGCCGGUUAUUUGGUGAUUCAUAAUAACUUUGCGAAUCGUAU
This 235-nucleotide ribosomal RNA is filed under the name uncultured fungus. Its description in RNAcentral is "partial 18S ribosomal RNA". It matches the Rfam family "Eukaryotic small subunit ribosomal RNA", at positions 40 to 274 of the family's 1831-position model. Lineage: Eukaryota; Fungi. The record is from RNAcentral.